Molecule: ribosomal RNA, 2876 nt
Filed under: wastewater metagenome
Description: bacterial LSU rRNA
Rfam family: Bacterial large subunit ribosomal RNA
Source: RNAcentral
AUAGGAAAUUUAAGGGCGUAUAGUGAAUGCCUUGGUUCUUGAUGGCGACGAAAGACGUGAACUGCCUGCGAUAAGCUUCGGUGAGGUGGCAAUUAACCUGUGACCCGGAGAUCUCUGAAUGGGGAAACCCAUCCGUAUUUAAAUGACGGAUAUCCAUUGUAUGAUGGAAGCAAACCUAGGGAAGUGAAACAUCUCAGUACCUAGAGGAAAAGAAAACAAAUGUUAUUUCCUGAGUAGCGGCGAGCGAAACGGAAUCUAGCCCAAACCCGAAUAAGCUCGCUGUAGUUAAUAUAGCAAUAUAUUGAAUAUAGCGAGCUGAAUCGGGGGUUGUAGGACAUUGAAGUCGUAAAGACAAAAAGUUACAAAUUUUUUGCAUAGGUGAAACAUCUGGAAAGGUGUGACAAAGAGGGUGACAUCCCCGUAACCGAAAUGUGGAAAACUUUUACAAUGCUCCUGAGUACUUCGAGACAUGAAUAGCUCGAAGGAAUCUGCCGGAACUAACCGGUAAGGCUAAAUACAUCAAGAGACCGAUAGUGAACUAGUACCGUGAGGGAAAGGUGAAAAGAACCCCUGUGAGGGGAGUGAAAUAGAUCUGAAACCAUACGCCUACAAGGAGUCGGAGCGGUUGUUUACAACCGUCACGGCGUGCCUAUUGAAGAAUGAGCCAACGAGUGUAUGCAUGCGGCAGGCUAAGUGCUAUAAAAGCAUGGAGCCAUAGGGAAACCGAGUCUGAAUAGGGCGAAAUUAAUGUCGUACGCAUACGACCCGAAGCCAGGUGAGCUUACCAUGGGCAGGGUGAACCCCGUAGAAAUAUGGGGGGAGGCCCGAACCAGUUGGUCGUACGAUUCCUUUGGAUGACCUGUGGUAAGGAGUGAAAAGCUAAUCGAACCUGGUAAUAGCUGGUUCUCUCCGAAAUAUAUUUUGGUAUAGCGUUAUGUGUUCCCUCUGGGGGUAGAGCACUGGCUGGUUUGGACAGGGUGAAAGCUCGCCAAACCUAUCAACCUCCGAAUACCAGAUGGUAAAUAGCAUAGCAGUCAGACAGUGGGGGCGAAGCUCCACGAGUCGAAAGGGAAACAGCCCUGGAUCUCAAGUUAAGGUCCCUAAAUCUACAUUAAGUGCACUUAAGGAGGUGAAAUUUCUCCGACAAUGAGGAGGUUGGCUUAGAAGCAGCCAUCCUUUAAAGAAAGCGUAACAGCUCACUCAUCUAGAGAAUUCGCGCCGCAAAUAAUCGGGGCUAAAAUGUAGUACCGAAGCUGAGGGUUUGUGCAUUUCAUAGAGAAAGUAAAUCUAUGGCACAUGGUCAGGUAAUGAAGACAAGCAUCUUAGUGUCUAAAUAUGCAAAAUCAGCCGCAUAUUUAUUCAGCAUAUGCCCUUCAGAGCCCGACCUCCAUAGAAAUUCUCUAAUAACUUUUGAAGUUAUUUUUUCUAUGAAAUGCAUGAGCGGUAGGAGAGUAUUGUACUCUGCGAUGAAGCGGAAGGCGUGAGCCACCGUGGAGCGUGUACAAGUAAGAAUGUUGGCACAAGUAACCACAAGACGGGUGAAAUCCCCGUCCGCCGAAAGACUAAGGUUUCCGCUGCUAUGUCAAUCAACAGCGGGUUAGUCGGGCCUAAGGAGAUGGCGAUAGCCGCAUCCGAUGGACACAUGGUUAAUAUUCCAUGACUUUAUUGCAAGCGAUGGAGGGACGGAGAACAUAAUUCCCCACGCAUUAUUGGAUUUGACGCUCAUGCUCAUAGACAGGAUAUUUAGGAAAAUCCGGAUAUCACAUACUGUCGCAAGAGUGACGAUUGGAGCCCUCGGGCUCUGAAAGGGGGAAGAAGAGUCUUCCAAGAAAAUCUUCUAGCAUUCAAUUGCAAUGAAUCCGUACCGUAAACCGACACAGGUAGUCAGGUCGAGUAGACCAAGGCGAACGAGUGAGUGAUCCUCAAGGAACUCGGCAAAAAAGCAGCCGUAACUUUGGAAUAAGGCUUGCCCAUGUUUAACUACAUGGGCCGCAGCGAAAGUAUCUCUGGCGACUGUUUAUCAAAAACACAGCUCCCUGCGAAAUCGUAAGAUGAUGUAUAGGGGGUGACACCUGACCAAUGCCAGAAGGUUAAAUAUCGGUGGUGUACAACAUCCAGCGCGUGAUCAAUUGAUCGUGCAUUGAAUGUUGUAUGCUGGCUGAUAUAAGCCCUGGUGAAUGUCGGCCGUAACUAUAACGGUCCUAAGGUAGCGAAUUACCUUGUCGGGUAAAUUCCGACGCGCACGAAUGGUGUAACGACUGGAGAACUGUCUCGAGGAUUAGCUCGGUGAAAAUACAAUACCGGUGAAGAUGCCGGUUACCUGCAGUUAGACGAAAAGACCCCGGGAGCUUUACUAUAGCUUCACAUUGGGCAUAUUGGAAUUGUGCGUAGCAUAGGUGGGAGAGGUUAUGCGUAUGGUCUUGGCUAUACGAUACUCGUCAGUGAAAUACCACUCUCAAUUUUGAUAUGUCCUAACCUGGACGAAAAAACGUUCAGAGACAGUGUGUGGUGGGUAGUUUGUUUGGGGCGAAUCCCUCCUAAAUUGUAACGGAGGGGCCUAUAAAGGUCAGCUAGGCGUGAAUGGAAACCAUGCCGAUAGUGUAAUGGCACAAGCUGGCUUGACUGCAAGACGUACAUGUCGAGCAGGUGCGAAAGCAGAGCAUAGUGAACCGACCUAACGCUUUAGAUGCGUGGGAAGAUCAACGGAUAAAAGCUACCCCGGGGAUAACAGGCUAGUAUCGCCCGAGAGUUCAUAUCGACGGCGGUGUUCGGCACCUCGAUGUCGGCUCAUCUUAUCCUGGGGCUGGAGAAGGUCCCAAGGGUUUGGCUGUUCGCCAAUUAAAAAGAUACGCGAGCUGGGUUCAGACCGUUUAGGA